GGUAAGAUGGCCGAGUGCUCAGGCGGUGGGCUGUAGUCCCGCAUACAGAGGUUCGACUCCUCUUCCUACCA
This 71-nucleotide transfer RNA is filed under the name Enchelynassa canina. RNAcentral describes it as "tRNA-Tyr". It matches the Rfam family "tRNA". From Rfam's summary of the family: Transfer RNA (tRNA) molecules are approximately 80 nucleotides in length. The record is from RNAcentral. Lineage: Eukaryota; Metazoa; Chordata; Actinopteri; Anguilliformes; Muraenidae.